RNAcentral lists this ribosomal RNA (910 nucleotides) under uncultured bacterium. RNAcentral describes it as "bacterial SSU rRNA". It matches the Rfam family "Bacterial small subunit ribosomal RNA", at positions 11 to 897 of the family's 1533-position model. The record is from RNAcentral.
GUUUGAUCCUGGCUCAGGACGAACGCUGGCGGCGUGCUUAACACAUGCAAGUCGAACGGGGUGUUUAUUUCGGUAAACACCAAGUGGCGAACGGGUGAGUAACGCGUAAGCAAUCUACCUUCAAGAUGGGGACAACACUUCGAAAGGGGUGCUAAUACCGAAUGAAUGUAAGAGUAUCGCAUGAGACACUUACUAAAGGAGGCCUCUGACAUAAGCUUCCGCUUGAAGAUGAGCUUGCGUCUGAUUAGCUAGUUGGUGAGGGUAAAGGCCCACCAAGGCGACGAUCAGUAGCCGGUCUGAGAGGAUGAACGGCCACAUUGGGACUGAGACACGGCCCAGACUCCUACGGGAGGCAGCAGUGGGGAAUCUUCCGCAAUGGGCGAAAGCCUGACGGAGCAACGCCGCGUGAACGAAGAAGGUCUUAGGAUCGUAAAGUUCUGUUGUUAGGGACGAAGGGUAAGAAUCAUAAUAAGGUUUUUAUUUGACGGUACCUAACGAGGAAGCCACGGCUAACUACGUGCCAGCAGCCGCGGUAAUACGUAGGCGGCAAGCGUUGUCCGGAAUUAUUGGGCGUAAAGGGAGCGCAGGCGGGAAACUAAGCGGAUCUUAAAAGUGCGGGGCUCAACCCCGUGAUGGGGUCCGAACUGGUUUUCUUGAGUGCAGGAGAGGAAAGCGGAAUUCCCAGUGUAGCGGUGAAAUGCGUAGAUAUUGGGAAGAACACCAGUGGCGAAGGCGGCUUUCUGGACUGUAACUGACGCUGAGGCUCGAAAGCUAGGGUAGCGAACGGGAUUAGAUACCCCGGUAGUCCUAGCCGUAAACGAUGGAUACUAGGUGUGGGAGGUAUCGACCCCUUCCGUGCCGGAGUUAACGCAAUAAGUAUCCCGCCUGGGGAGUACGGCCGCAAGGUUGA